GCAAGUUUACUGUAAUUCCUUGUACAUAACGAAUAGAGGAACUGACCGUUUCGCGGCUGGGUUAAGACUGUUUGAAAUACUGUAGAACUUCGCUAAUCUCAUGCGUUAAAACCAUGAAUUAAUUCAUACAAGAGGCUACUUUACAGCUAUAACACUGAUUGUUUCAUUUAUUCGGAAAUUGGAGCAAGGAAAGAUGUCCUGGACUUUGAGCAGUUUC
This 217-nucleotide long non-coding RNA is filed under the name Salmo trutta (river trout). RNAcentral describes it as "lncRNA (ENSSTUG00000018016.1)". The record is from RNAcentral. Lineage: Eukaryota; Metazoa; Chordata; Actinopteri; Salmoniformes; Salmonidae.